CUUUGGACCAGUCAUGGAGGCUGGAGUGACGGUGGAGAAGAUCUUGCAGGUGCAUGCUAGCAACAGUGAGCGCACGGCCAGGCUCUGCGGCAAGCAGUCGAGCAAAC
Molecule: small nuclear RNA, 107 nt
Filed under: Scrippsiella trochoidea
Lineage: Eukaryota; Dinophyceae; Peridiniales; Peridiniaceae
Description: partial Dictyostelium signal recognition particle
Source: RNAcentral